RNAcentral lists this long non-coding RNA (524 nucleotides) under Saimiri boliviensis boliviensis (Bolivian squirrel monkey). Its description in RNAcentral is "lncRNA (ENSSBOG00000036610.1)". Lineage: Eukaryota; Metazoa; Chordata; Mammalia; Primates; Cebidae. The record is from RNAcentral.
UGAUCACUGGAGUCUUGCGGGUCCCUCAGGCCACACAGGGACAAGCAAAGGCUACAUCCAGAUACCAGGAAUGCACUGACGCCCGUUCCUGGAAGCCUGCCUCCCACUCAGCCCGUGGGAUCAGCAGCCGCUGACCCCUCGGGAGUUCCAUCUCCGCCCUGCUGAGCCACCCGGGUUCAGCCAGGAUCCCGGCAGGCUGACACCAUCCUCCACUGAGACCUGAAAAAUGGCUUCGGGGCAAGGCCCAGGUCCUCCCAGGCAGGAGUGCGGAGAGCCUGACCCACCCUCUGCUUCUGAGGAGCAGGUAGCCCGGGACACGGAGGAAGUUUUCCACAGCUACGUUUUUUACCGCCAUCGGCAGGAACAGGAGGCUGAAGGGGCGGCUGCCCCUGCUGACCCAGAGAUGGUUAGCUUGUCUCUCCAACCUAGCAGCACCAUGGGGCAGGUGGGACGGCAGCUCGCCAUCAUUGGGGAUGACAUCAACCGGCGCUAUGACUCGGAGUUCCAGACCAUGCUGCAGCACC